This 253-nucleotide ribosomal RNA is filed under the name uncultured bacterium. RNAcentral's name for it is "partial 16S ribosomal RNA". It matches the Rfam family "Archaeal small subunit ribosomal RNA", at positions 474 to 727 of the family's 1478-position model. The record is from RNAcentral.
UACCAGCACCCCGAGUGGUCGGGACGUUUAUUGGGCCUAAAGCAUCCGUAGCCGGUUCUACAAGUCUUCCGUUAAAUCCAACUGCUUAACAGGUGGGCUGCGGAAGAUACUAUAGAGCUAGGAGGCGGGAGAGGCAAGCGGUACUCGAUGGGUAGGGGUAAAAUCCGUUGAUCCAUUGAAGACCACCAGUGGCGAAGGCGGCAUCCUGGACUGGUCCUGACACUCAGGAGCGAAAGCGUGGGGAGCGAUCCGG